UGAGCCUCAGAAUGAGGUGAAGAACUUGCGCUCAGGUUCGAGCCGAGCGAGACAGCAACGCGUUAGUGUUGACCCCGAAGGGGCGAGGCCAAAGGCCGAGUCAUCCUGCAAUACCCACUA
This 120-nucleotide small RNA is filed under the name Pectobacterium carotovorum subsp. carotovorum. Its description in RNAcentral is "RtT RNA". It matches the Rfam family "RtT RNA". Rfam says of the family: This family represents a bacterial cis-regulatory element known as RtT RNA. The record is from RNAcentral. Lineage: Bacteria; Pseudomonadati; Pseudomonadota; Gammaproteobacteria; Enterobacterales; Pectobacteriaceae.